Molecule: ribosomal RNA, 440 nt
Filed under: uncultured bacterium
Lineage: Bacteria
Description: partial 16S ribosomal RNA
Rfam family: Bacterial small subunit ribosomal RNA
Source: RNAcentral
GACGAACGCUGGCGGCGUGCCUAAUGCAUGCAAGUCGCACGCGGCACCUUCGGGUGCUGAGUGGCGAACGGCUGAGGAACACGUGGGGACCUGUCCGGGAGUGGGGGACAACACCGCGAAAGCGGUGCUAAUCUCGCAUACGCUCUGAGGAGGAAAGCCGAAAGGCGCUCCCGGGUGGCCCUGCGGCCCAUCAGGUUGUGGGUGGGGUAACGGCCUACCAAGCCAAUGACGGGUCGCUGGACUGUGAGGACGACCAGCCAGGCUGGGACUGGGACCCGGCCCUGACACCUACGGGAGGGCGCAGCAAGGAAUUUUGGGGCACGGGCGCCAGACGGACCGAGCCACGCCGCGUGCAGGAAGACGGCCUUCGGGAUGGAAACUGCUUUUGCUACGGAUGCUAACCGACAGUACCUGGAGAAUAAGCCCCGGCUAACUCCGUG